RNAcentral lists this long non-coding RNA (641 nucleotides) under Equus caballus (horse). RNAcentral describes it as "lncRNA (ENSECAG00000028036.3)". Lineage: Eukaryota; Metazoa; Chordata; Mammalia; Perissodactyla; Equidae. The record is from RNAcentral.
AGCAAAGCUGACAGUUUGCUUAUCACUUAUUCUCACAAGAUGUGCACAGUUCUCAAACAGGACCUUUUCUUGCAGGAUCUAUGGCCUGAAGAGAAUGAAACCACUGAAAAAUGAAAUAGAAUUCUUCAAGGGACUCUAUUCCACGGAAAGAAUGUUGCUACUGGAAAACUUCUACAGAGCUGCGUGACUUUAUCAUCUUUUAAGAUUCAUCAGCAUUCAGCGGAGAACCAGACAGAGAAAAAACGUGGUAUGAUCUGCGACAUCAAGGCAAAGGGCCCAAAAGUUGUUCUGGCCCUGGGAAAGGGUCCCAGAGUCAGACUGGCCAGCUUUUACCACGGCUGAUGGUCCAGCAUGCCGGCCGGAGCCCCCGCCUCCUUGGGGCACCUUGAGAAGACCAGGCAACAGCGCUGGAGUCUCCGUCGGAAAGACUCAAGAGAAAGUUGUGCCUUGUUCUGCCUCUCCUCAGCCCUGGAAGUGCUUCCUGCUGUGCACCCUGUGUCCUGGGGGUGGGACCCCCUUCCUCCCGGAGGCCUCCUCUCAGAGCCCCUGAUUAACUAGCGGGAACAUCCUCUCCCUCUAUUUCUGCUCAUUUCUUGGCUUCUACGCCUCUACAAAUGUGGUUUCCAGACCUUGAGUUUUCA